This 257-nucleotide ribosomal RNA is filed under the name uncultured Gardnerella sp. RNAcentral's name for it is "partial 16S ribosomal RNA". It matches the Rfam family "Bacterial small subunit ribosomal RNA", at positions 98 to 354 of the family's 1533-position model. Lineage: Bacteria; Bacillati; Actinomycetota; Actinomycetes; Bifidobacteriales; Bifidobacteriaceae. The record is from RNAcentral.
CGGAACGGGUGAGUAAUGCGUGACCAACCUGCCCCAUGCUCCAGAAUAGCUCUUGGAAACGGGUGGUAAUGCUGGAUGCUCCAACUUGACGCAUGUCUUGUUGGGAAAGUGUUUAGUGGCAUGGGAUGGGGUCGCGUCCUAUCAGCUUGUAGGCGGGGUAAUGGCCCACCUAGGCUUCGACGGGUAGCCGGCCUGAGAGGGCGGACGGCCACAUUGGGACUGAGAUACGGCCCAGACUCCUACGGGAGGCAGCAGAA